UGAGUAACCUGCCCUUAACUCUGGGAUAAGCCUGGGAAACUGGGUCUAAUACCGGAUAUGACUCCUCAUCGCAUGGUGGGGGGUGGAAAGCUUUAUUGUGGUUUUGGAUGGACUCGCGGCCUAUCAGCUUGUUGGUGAGGUAAUGGCUCACCAAGGCGACGAUGGGGUAGCCGGCCUGAGAGGGUGACCGGCCACACUGGGACUGAGACACGGCCCAGACCUCCGUACGGGAGGNAG
RNAcentral lists this ribosomal RNA (237 nucleotides) under uncultured bacterium. RNAcentral's name for it is "partial 16S ribosomal RNA". It matches the Rfam family "Bacterial small subunit ribosomal RNA", at positions 118 to 351 of the family's 1533-position model. The record is from RNAcentral.